Molecule: long non-coding RNA, 423 nt
Organism: Arvicanthis niloticus (Nile rat)
Lineage: Eukaryota; Metazoa; Chordata; Mammalia; Rodentia; Muridae
Source: RefSeq, a predicted model, not a curated record
AAGAGAACAUCCUUACCGGGCAAUGUUCCCAAAUCUAAUGCCAGUAGUGGCUGAUACCAUGGCAUGAGGUGGAGACUGAUCACCCUGAAGCCUGAUGAUGAGCACUAAGAGGUAUCGACAAGGCUUCCAGUCACAUGUCCCUGGACCAGUCACUAACACCUAACUCGAUGGACUUCACCUUGACUGUUUCUGACCCAGGCAUUCGCAGCAGAACCUGGUGUGGCUGCACAGAACUUGGAGCCUCUUCACUUGGGAAUGAGCUACAAGGUGACAACCCAACUGAAAUCACAUCACAUAGCCACUGCAGUUCAAUGUGACAGAUGACAUGUCAUGUCUUCAGGACCUCAGUCUCCCCAGUUUCUGCCCCAGAGGACCAGAGAUGGCCUGCUGUCUAAGACCCACCCAAGAAAGAACCAGAAUAAA